This 484-nucleotide ribosomal RNA is filed under the name uncultured bacterium. RNAcentral describes it as "partial 16S ribosomal RNA". It matches the Rfam family "Bacterial small subunit ribosomal RNA", at positions 28 to 507 of the family's 1533-position model. The record is from RNAcentral.
GAUUAACGCUAGCGGCAGGCAUAAUACAUGCAAGUUGAACGGCAGCACAGGUAGCAAUACUGGGUGGCGAGUGGCGCACGGGUGCGUAACACGUAUGCAACCUACCCUAUACAGGCGAAUAACCUUUAGAAAUGAGGGCUAAUACGCCGUAGUAUUACAGAUGGGCAUCUAUUUGUAAUUAAAGAUUUAUCGGUAUAGGAUGGGCAUGCGUCCCAUUAGUUAGUUGGUAAGGUAACGGCUUACCAAGACGAUGAUGGGUAGGGGAUCUGAGAGGACUUACCCCCACACUGGUACUGAGACACGGACCAGACUCCUACGGGAGGCAGCAGUAAGGAAUAUUGGGCAAUGGCCGCGAGGCUGACCCAGCCAUGCCGCGUGCAGGAAGACGGCCUUAUGGGUUGUAAACUGCUUUUAUACGGGAAUAAUAGAGUGUACGCGUACAUUUAUGCAAGUAACGGAUGAAUAAGCAUCGGCUAACUCCGUG